GUCCAAUUGUGACACUUAAGGCAUGUUCCUGUGUACUAGAAGAGAAUAGCGAUAUAAGAAAGCAACAAUGGUUCGCUUGUUUUUGUCGGAGCCUAACUGGAAAGAAGAUAGAGGAGGUGGAGAUAGUGGGGUUUCCAAGCAAUGGAUAUUGCUUUUGAACCAAUUGGAAUCCGUUAUCUGGUCGUUGAUGACUUCUGGGGGUCGAGCAGAAGCUCGUUUAUGGCUAUGCAAUACAAUAGCAGGC
RNAcentral lists this unclassified non-coding RNA (244 nucleotides) under Hevea brasiliensis (rubber tree). Lineage: Eukaryota; Viridiplantae; Streptophyta; Magnoliopsida; Malpighiales; Euphorbiaceae. The record is from RNAcentral.